AUGUACCAACACGCUGGUGUUUAUGUAUUAAAUUAACUGUUAACUGUGAGUAUAACCAGAUACACUCGUACCAGCAUCAUGCAACCAACAUAUCAGUGGUAUGUCUAAAAUCUCUGGUCUCGUAGUUCCUCCACCUCUGUUCGGACGCUUCGGGCUGAUAACAAGGUGAGCAGCUGUGAUGACCCAGCUAGCAUCCACUAACACUCCUCCACACAGACUCUCUCCUUUAUAAUCCAGCAGGACCUGGGAAAACAGCGUGAGAAGAUCUGAGCAUCAAAAGUCUUAAUUCAGUGAAGAGUUUCUCAGUCUCACCUUGUGCAACACAGGACUUCCCAUCCUCUCCGAGGGAAUAACCCGGAGCACAUGAACACUUUCGCCUGCGACCCGAACCAUCACAGAACUGCUCACAACCACCGUUCAGAUACAAGCACUUCAGAGUGUCCUCGAACACUACACAGAGAGAACACAGAGAGAACACAGAGAUCACACAGAGAGAACAGAGAGAACACAGAGAGAACACAGAGAGAGCACAGGGAGAGCACAGAGAGGGGUUUAUUUUAAACUUUACAUUAACAAACAUGAAUAAAAGAGUAAAAGAAAUGAAUAAA
Molecule: long non-coding RNA, 608 nt
Organism: Trichomycterus rosablanca
Lineage: Eukaryota; Metazoa; Chordata; Actinopteri; Siluriformes; Trichomycteridae
Exons: 3
Source: RefSeq, a predicted model, not a curated record